AAAUUCUGGCAAUCGCUCCCGCACUUGAUGCGGGAGAGGAAAGUCCAUGCUCACACGGAUCUGCGAUGACCGUAGUGAUCGCGCUCAGCGAAACAAUAAGCUGGGGCAGCAGUAAUGCUGACGGCGGGUAGAACGCCUAAGUCUUCGGAUAUGGCCGAAAUACCCUGAAGGUGCCACAGUGACGGAGCUGUCUAGGAAACUAUGCAGGUGGAACGAGGUAAACCCCGCGAGUGAGAAACCCAAAUUAUGGUAGGGGCACUUUUCCAAGGGAAAUGAACCGACGGAAGAGGCGGAGUGAAUCCGCAGAUAGAUGAUUGCCAUCCGCUAGUACGAGGCUUUGGCUGUUUGAGUACGUGGAGACAAAACAUGGCUUAUAGAA
Non-coding RNA from Planococcus rifietoensis, 379 nucleotides. It matches the Rfam family "Bacterial RNase P class B". From Rfam's summary of the family: Ribonuclease P (RNase P) is a ubiquitous endoribonuclease, found in archaea, bacteria and eukarya as well as chloroplasts and mitochondria. Its best characterised activity is the generation of mature 5'-ends of tRNAs by cleaving the 5'-leader elements of precursor-tRNAs. Cellular RNase Ps are ribonucleoproteins. The record is from Rfam. Lineage: Bacteria; Bacillati; Bacillota; Bacilli; Caryophanales; Caryophanaceae.